Molecule: ribosomal RNA, 480 nt
Filed under: uncultured bacterium
Lineage: Bacteria
Description: bacterial SSU rRNA
Rfam family: Bacterial small subunit ribosomal RNA
Source: RNAcentral
AUUGAACGCUGGCGGCAUGCCUUAACAUGCAAGUCGAACGGUACAGGUCUUCGGAUGCUGACGAGUGGCGAACGGGUGAGUAAUACAUCGGAACGUGCCCGAUCGUGGGGGAUAACGGAGCGAAAGCUUUGCUAAUACCGCAUACGAUCUACGGAUGAAAGCAGGGGACCGCAAGGCCUUGCGCGGACGGAGCGGCCGAUGGCAGAUUAGGUAGUUGGUGGGAUAAAAGCUUACCAAGCCGACGAUCUGUAGCUGGUCUGAGAGGACGACCAGCCACACUGGGACUGAGACACGGCCCAGACUCCUGCGGGAGGCAGCAGUGGGGAAUUUUGGACAAUGGGCGAAAGCCUGAUCCAGCGAUGCCGCGUGGGUGAAGAAGGCCUGCGGGUUGUAAAGCCCUUUCGAUGGGAAAGAAAAGCCUGGAGCUAAUACCUCCGGGUCUUGACGUUACCCAGAGAAGAAGCACCGGCUAACUCCGUG